Molecule: long non-coding RNA, 482 nt
Organism: Mugil cephalus (flathead mullet)
Lineage: Eukaryota; Metazoa; Chordata; Actinopteri; Mugiliformes; Mugilidae
Exons: 3
Source: RefSeq, a predicted model, not a curated record
AGGGCCAUCAGAAGCAUCCAGAGAGGCCAAGUAGAUGUCUCGGCAGGGAUGAUGAUGGAGACAGAGGAACGUGAGCUAUGAGAAGCAGCUGGACAGCAGACAGGGUUGUUUGCAUCCACCGAGGAAGCCCCUAGCUCUGAAUGUGGGCUGCACAAGUAGCAGCCUAUUUCUCCAAAAUCUACGCACUACUGUGUGAAUGAAGUGGACAAAGCACUUUCAGUGGAUUUGGAAACUUUCAAAGAGUGGAACAUUGGAGAGAAAGAAAUCUCUGCAGCUGAGCAUUAAGAGUCGUCCAUAAAGGAAUACAAAACCAGACUUUGAGGUAAUGGUCCAGACCUGUGCUAUGUUUGAAUAGAAACCUAUCCAGUGAAGAGUCUGCGCUCACACAUCCCUCUGUUUAGUUUAUGCUGUGCUUUUUUUUUUUUAACAUUUUCUUGUACUUUUUAAAUUUCCUCAUGCAGAUUAAAUCAUUCUUUCCCACA